GCAUUGGCAGUUCUCGGCCACCGUACCUCUAAAAUAGGAUAAUUUUGGUCAUUGCAGAUAGUAGAGAUUGGAGAGACAAGUCAAGUCACGUCCUGAAAAUCAGGGCUAAUGUUAGACUGAAUUUCUGUAGAGCUGGUGGUGGGCUGUAUUUUUUUCUGUUACAUUUCUUUUCAGUUAAAAAAUACCGGCCACCUUUGCUCAUGUCAGUGCCCUAAAUGGGCCACCCCACUUUUAAAGUCUAGCUACGCCCCUAGAUGUUCAUCUGCAGCAGUUUAUCAAGCUUGAAGCACAAAACAUCGAAGGUAAGCAUUCAUGUUAAUUCCACUGCCUCAUUUUUGAUUUUUCAGAGCCUUAAAUUUGAUCAUAAAUUUCACUUUCCUGCUUUCAGAGUGACAUUUUUCCUUCCCUCUUACUCACAGCCCCCCUCCCGUCUCACUGCCAGUGCUGUCCAUGUCGGUAACACAUCUUUCAGGAGAUGAAGGAAACCUCGCUUGUCACAGUGCGCCUGCUUUCUUCUUCCAGG
Molecule: non-coding RNA, 523 nt
Organism: Xyrichtys novacula (pearly razorfish)
Lineage: Eukaryota; Metazoa; Chordata; Actinopteri; Labriformes; Labridae
Source: the annotation of a GenBank genome assembly